This 1233-nucleotide ribosomal RNA is filed under the name metagenome. RNAcentral describes it as "bacterial LSU rRNA". It matches the Rfam family "Bacterial large subunit ribosomal RNA", at positions 1564 to 2808 of the family's 2925-position model. The record is from RNAcentral.
UGAAUACGAGACGCUAAGGCGUCGAAGUAGUGUAUGUCAUACUUCCAAAAAGCUUGCACUGUCAUAAGUAAAAAAUGCCUGUACCAUAACCGACACAGGUGGGUAGGUAGAGUAUACUAAGGGGCGCGAGAUAACUCUCUCUAAGGAACUCGGCAAAAUAACUCCGUAACUUCGGGAGAAGGAGUACCUUAUUCUAUAAGGUUGCAAUAACAAGAUCCAAGCAACUGUUUAUCAAAAACACAGGUCUCCGCUAAGUCGUAAGACGAUGUAUGGGGGCUGACGCCUGCCCAGUGCCAGAAGGUUAAAGAAGUCGGUUAGCAUUAGCGAAGCUGGUAACUGAAGCCCUGGUGAACGGCGGCCGUAACAAUAACGGUCCUAAGGUAGCGAAAUUCCUUGUCGGGUAAGUUCCGACCCGCACGAAAGGCGUAAUGAUUUGGAUACUGUCUCGGAGAGGGGCUCGGUGAAAUAGACUUGUCUGUGAAGAUGCGGACUACCUGCACCAGGACAGAAAGACCCUAUGAAGCUCUACUGUAACUUGAAAUUGAAAUUGGACUUUAUUCGCGCAGUAUAGGUGGGAGGUGUUGAUUAUAAUCUUGCGGGAUUAUUGGAGCCAUCAGUGAGAUACCACUCUUGUAAUGUUAGAUUUCUAACUUUGAAUCAUUAUCUGGUCAAAGGACAGUUUCAGGCGGGCAGUUUGACUGGGGCGGUCGCCUCCCAAACGGUAACGGAGGCGUACAAAGGUUUCCUCUGAACGGGUAGAAAUCGUAUCUAGAGUGUAAAGGCAUAAGGAAGCUUGACUGUGAGACCUACAAGUCGAACAGGGACGAAAGUCGGUCUUAGUGAUCUGACGGUACUGAGUGGAAAGGCCGUCACUCAACGGAUAAAAGUUACUCUAGGAUAACAGGCUGAUCUCCCCCAAGAGUUCACAUCGACGGGGAGGUUUGGCACCUCGAUGUCGGCUCAUCGCAUCCUGGGGCGGUAGUACGUCCCAAGGGUUGGGCUGUUCGCCCAUGAAAGCGGUACGCGAGCUGGGUUCAGAACGUCGUGAGACAGUUCGGUCCAUAUCCGGUGUAGGCGUUAGAAUAUUGAGAGGAGCCUUCUUUAGUACGAGAGGACCGAGAAGGACAUACCUCUGGUGUACCAGUUAUCGUGCCAACGGUAAACGCUGGGUAGCUAUGUAUGGAGUGGAUAACCGCUGAAAGCAUCUAAGUGGGAAGCCCACCUCAAGAUAAG